GCCUGGGUGGCUCAGUCAGUUGAGCGUCUGACUUAGGCUCAGGUCAUGAUCCCACAGUCUGUGGGUUCGAGCCCCACAUCAGGCU
RNAcentral lists this transfer RNA (85 nucleotides) under Felis catus (domestic cat). It matches the Rfam family "tRNA". From Rfam's summary of the family: Transfer RNA (tRNA) molecules are approximately 80 nucleotides in length. Their secondary structure includes four short double-helical elements and three loops (D, anti-codon, and T loops). Further hydrogen bonds mediate the characteristic L-shaped molecular structure. tRNAs have two regions of fundamental functional importance: the anti-codon, which is responsible for specific mRNA codon recognition, and the 3' end, to which the tRNAs corresponding amino acid is attached (by aminoacyl-tRNA synthetases). tRNAs cope with the degeneracy of the genetic code in two manners: having more than one tRNA (with a specific anti-codon) for a particular amino acid; and 'wobble' base-pairing, i.e. permitting non-standard base-pairing at the 3rd anti-codon position. The record is from Rfam by way of RNAcentral. Lineage: Eukaryota; Metazoa; Chordata; Mammalia; Carnivora; Felidae.